UACAGAGGGUGCGAGCGUUGUCCGGAAUCACUGGGCGUAAAGGGCGCGUAGGUGGUGGCUUAAGCGUGCGGUGAAAGCUCGGGGCUCAACCCCGAGUCGGCCGUGCGAACUGGGCUCACUGGAGCAUAGUAGAGGCAGGUGGAAUUCCGGGUGUAGCGGUGGAAUGCGUAGAGAUCCGGAAGAACACCGGUGGCGAAGGCGGCCUGCUGGGCUAUGGCUGACACUGAGGCGCGACAGCGUGGGGAGCAACAGG
RNAcentral lists this ribosomal RNA (253 nucleotides) under uncultured bacterium. Its description in RNAcentral is "partial 16S ribosomal RNA". It matches the Rfam family "Bacterial small subunit ribosomal RNA", at positions 524 to 775 of the family's 1533-position model. The record is from RNAcentral.